Non-coding RNA from Rhodofomes roseus, 96 nucleotides. NCBI's taxonomy places the organism in Eukaryota, Fungi, Basidiomycota, Agaricomycetes, Polyporales, Fomitopsidaceae. The record is from the annotation of a RefSeq genome assembly.
GGGCGUUUGGCACAGUGGUAGCGCGCACGCUUUGCAUCUGUAGUAAGAGCUUGAGUUACAUGCGUGAGGUCGAGGGUUCAAACCCCCCAACGUCCA